UUCCAGACUCCUACGGGAGGCAGCAGUGGGGAAUAUUGCACAAUGGGGGGAACCCUGAUGCAGCGACGCCGCGUGGGUGAAGAAGCGCCUCGGCGCGUAAAGCCCUGUCAGCAGGGAAGAAAAUGACGGUACCUGAAGAAGAAGCCCCGGCUAACUACGCGCCAGCAGCCGCGGUAAUACGUAGGGGGCAAGCGUUAUCCGGAUUUACUGGGUGUAAAGGGGGCGCAGACGGCGAUGCAAGCCAGGAGUGAAAGCCCGGGGCCCAACCCCGGGACUGCUCUUGGAACUGCGUGGCUGGAGUGCAGGAGGGGCAGGCGGAAUUCCUGGUGUAGCGGUGAAAUGCGUAGAUAUCAGGAGGAACACCGGUGGCGAAGGCGGCCUGCUGGACUGCAACUGACGUUGAGGCCCGAAAGCGUGGGGAGCAAACAGGAUUAGAUACCCCGGUAAG
RNAcentral lists this ribosomal RNA (448 nucleotides) under uncultured bacterium. RNAcentral's name for it is "bacterial SSU rRNA". It matches the Rfam family "Bacterial small subunit ribosomal RNA", at positions 329 to 793 of the family's 1533-position model. The record is from RNAcentral.